GUUUCAGUCUGAUAAGCACUUUUCACUAGCUUGCUGGAGAACAAACCAAGAUAAGAUAGAUUGAGAAUAUAGCCUAACUUUGAAAAGCGCCCUUUUAAGCCUGUAUUUGUGCCUGCUAUGAGAAAGAUUUUCCGCUUGUACAUAUCCGGCGAGGGACGAUAUUUAUUGCCUUCAUCAUAGAGAAGACUCAUUUGCGCCUGCCUUCUGGGAAAGGGACUGAUGGCUAGGAUUAGUCCUUCUGUAUCACCCACCUAUCAAACAUUAUUUACCUAACCUCAUAUGCCACUCACCUUAGUGCUUUUGUCUGUACAAAGAAAAGUGAGGUUUAGCAGAGUUCGAAUGCGGUAGGUUAUAAAUAGAUAUAUUCUUCCAGUAGCCAAGGGUUAGUUUGGAAACUAUAUAAAACAAAACAUACAUACGAACGAUAGGCUUCUGCCGGCAGAAAUCAAAAGAAACGCACGCAGGAGUAAUUAGAAGGAAUAUAAGUCCCCAUGCAGGAUUCAUUAGAAAUGCUGGAAGUCGUUUUCGAUCGAAGUCUUUUGUGACCUGCUUCACUUCAAGCCUUUUCUUUUUUCAUUUAGCAUCUUGGUGUGGUGUUUGGGUAUGUGCUCUCCUAUGGUUAUGGUAAAGUAAAGGUAAUCCGUUUGUGUCGUUUAUGAUGGAUCAUAUUCAAUUCCAUUCAAUUAUCUCAAUAGUGCAGACUUAUCUCAAUAGUGCGGACUUAUCUCAGGGGUGCUUCCGUGGCUAAUCGUAAAGUAGGUUGACCACGUGCUUGACAUGCUCCUUUUCUUUCUCUUUUCUUUAUUUAGGCUACUCUGUCUCCAUCGGUCAGCAUAAGCAGCUGCAUCUACUGAGUAGAAGUUGUAACGAUCUUAUUCUUCUUGUCUUGUAUACGUUAUAAGGAAGCUUAUGUAGCUACUGGUGCAGCUAAAUCAGUUGCUUCUCUGUCUCUUGUGUCUGUCCACUGUUCUGUUGCUCUAGUAGUAGCUAGUCUAUCCUAUGCCUAACAAAUGACGGAAGAUCUAGUGUCUACUAGUACUGAUGUAGUUAUUGUACCUGUAGUCGCGAGGGUUGCAAAUGUCCUUGCUUUUGUGAGGGAAUGGAGUAGCAUUGCUAUAACCUUUACGCGAAGCAGCUAGUGCUUCAGUGGUUCCUGUAGCUCAUGUAGUAGCGUCGGAUGCUACUGGGACUGAGACCCUAUCCCUUAUACCAAAAUCCAUAACAGUGGUAGCACUGUCAAUUUCUCAACUAUCUUUAUCCAGCUCACAAGAAGAGAAGGUUUUAUCCACACCAUUCCACAAAGUCAGGAUGAAACUCUAAAUUCAUGAUUUACCUAGUUCUGUUUCUCGACUACCAACCUACCAUAGUGCCCGGCUCCUGAUUAACCAUGCCAUUUACUGUACUCCUUUCAGAAUUGAGUGUAGUAACCGCAAUAUCACAUUAAGAGAUAGAACCCCCUCCCUUAGCGCCUUACUUACCCUAACAACAAACUGCCUUUAAUUAACUAACUAAUACACCUAGGAGCCGCACUUGUACUAGGUUUAGUCUGAUAUUACCUAAUCUCAAUCAAGCUUACUUGACUUAUAGAAUUCUCCAAAUCCAUACUGCAUUCUGUAUCUCCGCUAUCAACCCACCUCUAUUUGCUCUCAUUCUCUCACUGAUUACUUGCAUCCUAUAUUUCCUCCUUCACUCUUAAGCUGCUAACUAAGAGAAUCAAAUCACUGCUUCGAGGACUUCAAUCACUGACAAUAAGACUAUAGCUCAUAACCAAGACUAUAGCUCGGCAAGCAACUACUAACGACCAAG
Molecule: long non-coding RNA, 1806 nt
Filed under: Musa acuminata (dwarf banana)
Lineage: Eukaryota; Viridiplantae; Streptophyta; Magnoliopsida; Zingiberales; Musaceae
Description: long non-coding RNA (MACU_LNC010106)
Source: RNAcentral